Anneissia japonica is the source of this 2255-nucleotide long non-coding RNA. RefSeq lists it as uncharacterized. NCBI's taxonomy places the organism in Eukaryota, Metazoa, Echinodermata, Crinoidea, Comatulida, Comatulidae. The transcript is spliced from 4 exons. The record is from RefSeq and is a predicted model, not a curated record.
CAUAGACAAUUCAUACCGUAGACCGAAAGCCAAAAUCUGCUUUAUCAUCUGUGUGCCUGAGUAUUGGACAGUUUGUACCAUUGAUUAUCAUCUGCAUGGAAUGAAUUGUUCAUGUACCAGUUAAUCACAGUACUGAUGUGCAGUAUGCUGCUGCUGACGACACCCUCAUAACAAAAGUGCCUAAAUCAUUAUUUUCAAGUUUUGAGAUUUUCUGCGUAACUCAUUUCUUAUAUCAGUAUACUGCCCUCUGUAUAUUAUCUAAGUCAUUGAUAUACAUUUGCACAUGCUCAGACCGAUUUUUUGUGUUUCUGCCUAAGUCAGUUGUGUGACAAUUUUCACACUGUUAAAAUGGCACACAUGGUAAAUUCUCAUCAAAGAAAAGUCCCUAUUAAUGACGUUCUUGCUAUGCUGGACAUUUGUCUGAUUCAAGUGGUAAGCUGUUAAUGAUACAUUAUAGAUUACAACUAGCCUCAUUCUUUGGUGAUAAUAUUAUUUUAUUAUUGUGUAAAAUGUAAAUAAAAUUAGUCCUAGUAACAUAACGCAGGGGGCCUAGACUCCAGUGAGUGUAGGGCGUACAGGCGUUAUUAGCCUUGAAUGCAUUUGAGCCAAGACUGGCUCGGCGUGGGCUAGGACUAGGCCUGUUGUAGUUAGGUAAGCCUAGGCUUUAGUUAUCUUUAUAUUAUGGGGUUUGUGAGUAAAUAAAAAUGAAUAUUUUAUGACAGAGGUCUAUAAUUAAUAGUAGGCCUAUAAUAAUACUUAUACUAGUAUUUAAACAGUUUUGUUUUAUUUAUAUUUUAUAAUAUUUUGAAAUUACAACUAAAAAUGCAAUGAUUUUUUAUUUUAAGAAUCGGAUGAUUCAGAUCUUGACCCUGACUUUGUCCCUGAUGGUAAACCUAAUGGUGAGACAACGGCAUCUGAUAUAUUGUUGAGAGACAUGAUGAGCGUGAUGAACAUGCAUAAAUUGAUCCAGUUGUACCAAUUAAGUUAGGUCAACCAGAGCAACAAGAUGGAGAAGAUGACAAUAAUGAAGACCAACCAGAGCAGGAAGACCGAGAGGAUGAAAAUAAUUAAGACCAACCAGAGCAGGCAGAUGGAGAGGAUGACAAUAAUUAAGACCAACCAGAUCAGGCAGAUGGAGAGGAUGACAAUAAUUAAGACCAACCAGAGCAAGAAGACGGAGAGGAUGACAAUACUGGUGUACUGGUGAUUGUGAAGCGUCAUAAACGCCCAUCAACUCACAUUUGAAACCAAAAUGUGUACAAAAAGGGCUGCCUGGAAGGAAAAGCUUACAAAAACAGAAGAGGAGUUGAAAAACCUGAAAAAAAGACGGGAAAUGCAUGCAAUUCUAACUUCUGUAGAAAAUCCAAAUUGAGAGAUUACCAAUCUUUGGAUGAGGAUAAACGGAGCUGGAUCUUCCAACAUUUUUUUUGACAUGAAAUCAUGGAAUGAACGCCGUUUUACGUCCGAACAUUAGUGUCCAAGGUUGACAUAACACAAAAAAAGAUCCCUGUAGAUCAGUCAAGAAGAAAGUAUUCUUUUUCCUACAAACUCCAGCUGCAGGAUGGAACAUCUGUUCAGGUUUGCAAGUCCAUGUUUGCAUCAACCCUUGGCCUUUCUCAGAGGACUGUUGCUGAUUGGCUAACCAACAACGAUGAUGCCCCAGAAGUUGAAAAUCCACAUAGGCAUCGUAAAGGCAAGACUGCAUACGUGGAAAGCAAAGACAUGGACUACCUUAAGAAGUGGCUAGCUGAUCUACCAUCUGUGCCAUCCCACUAUUGUAGAAAUACUGCCACUUAUAGAAAUAAGAAAUUCUUAUACCCGGGCACAACACUCGCCAAGCUCCACCCAGAGUACAAAAUGGAUGCAGAGAGUGCCGGUUAUCGAGCAGUGUGCCAAACACGUUUUAGCCAAAUUUUUAAUGAUGAGAAAUUUUUUGGUAUUUAUACCAAGAAAAGAUCAGUGCAAUGUUUGCGUCAGCGCGAAGCAUGCCGCUACACACAAGGCACAUAUUUUAGCUAAAGAUCAAGCAAAAAAGGAAAAAGCUGAUGACAAAGAUGCAGCUAAUGAUGAAGUGUCCAUGUGGACUAUGGACUUACAGGCGGUCCUAUUAUGUCCCAGAACAAAAGCUAGUACAAUGUAAAUGUAAAAACUAAAUUCACAAUUUUACAUUGUAUGAUUUGAAAAGUAAGGAAGGCUACUGCUAUACAUGGGAAGAACAUGAAGGAGAUUUAAGCAGUGAGGUAUUUGCAUCUAUG